AACAAGGCGUACCUGCGGACCUGCGGAAGGAUCAUUACAGAGUUGCAAAACUCCCUAAACCAUUGUGAACCUACCUUCUACCGUUGCUUCGGCGGGCGGGCCUAGCGCCCCCCCGGCCCCCCGCGGGCGCCCGCCGGAGGAUAACCAAACUCUUGACAUCAGUGGCCUCUCUGAGUAUUCUUUACUGAAUAAGUCAAAACUUUUAACAACGGAUCU
This 216-nucleotide unclassified non-coding RNA is filed under the name soil metagenome. RNAcentral's name for it is "partial contains 5.8S ribosomal RNA, internal transcribed spacer 2, and large subunit ribosomal RNA". The record is from RNAcentral.